Molecule: ribosomal RNA, 492 nt
Filed under: uncultured bacterium
Lineage: Bacteria
Description: partial 16S ribosomal RNA
Rfam family: Bacterial small subunit ribosomal RNA
Source: RNAcentral
GAUGAACGCUAGCUACAGGCUUAACACAUGCAAGUCGAGGGGAAACGACAUCGAAAGCUUGCUUUUGAUGGGCGUCGACCGGCGCACGGGUGAGUAACGCGUAUCCAACCUGCCCAUCACUUGGGAAUAACCUUGCGAAAGUAAGACUAAUACCCAAUGACAUCCCACGAAGACAUCUGAAUGGGAUUAAAGAUUUAUCGGUGAUGGAUGGGGAUGCGUCUGAUUAGCUUGUUGGCGGGGUAACGGCCCACCAAGGCAACGAUCAGUAGGGGUUCUGAGAGGAAGGUCCCCCACAUUGGAACUGAGACACGGUCCAAACUCCUACGGGAGGCAGCAGUGAGGAAUAUUGGUCAAUGGGCGAGAGCCUGAACCAGCCAAGUAGCGUGCAGGAUGACGGCCCUAUGGGUUGUAAACUGCUUUUAUAAGGGAAUAAAGUGGGUCUCGGGAGACUUUUUGCAUGUACCUUAUGAAUAAGGACCGGCUAAUUCCGUG